CGGGGCGUGACCCCGGGUCCCGGGAUCGAGUCCCGCGUGGGGCUCCCUGCGUGGGGCCUGCUCCUCCCUCUGCCUGGGUCUCUGCCUCUCUCUCUCUUUCUCUCUCUCUCUGUCUCUCAUGAAUAAAUAAAUAAAAUCUUAAAUAAAAUAAAAAUAAAAAGGGGUCCGGUGAGCACGGCCGGCUCAGGCCCGAGCACGGGCCUCCCGGAGACCCGCCGAGGCCCACGACGGCCUGUGAGCCCGGGGACAGCAGCGCCCGCGGGGACACCCCAAGGGGCUGCGAGGUCGCGGCCUGGAGCCGCCGUGUCGCCUGCCCGUCGCCAGGGGGCGCCGCUGCCUCGGGCCACCGCGCUCCGCCGGCGCCGGGCUCCCAGGGCCGCCCCGUCCCCCCGCUUGGAAGGCCGGCUGCCGAGAGGGCCCCGGGGUCGCUGCCCCCCGAAGGAGUCACCCUUCUCCGAAUAAAAACGGGAAGGGCUUCCGAUGCAACUGGGAGACGACGGCUCCGCUCUCUGCGUGCGAAAACGCCCGAAGUCGUUAGGUAAAACCGGUGACCCCGCUAGGGAGCCGCGGCUGCAAAACUGCCCUUGCUCGGGACUCGCCUCCAAACGCCCGCAGUUCUACAGAAUCAGCCCAACAGGGAUCCCUGGGUGGCGCAGCGGUUUGGCGCCUGCCUUUGGCCCAGGGCGCGAUCCUGGAGACCCGGGAUCGAAUCCCACGUCGGGCUCCCGGUGCAUGGAGCCUGCUUCUCCCUCUGCCUGUGUCUCUGCCUCUCUUUCUCUCUGUAACUAUCAUAAAUAAAUAAAAAUUAAAAAAAAAUCAGCCCAACAGCAGAGAAAGACUGUGGGGCGUGCGUCCGGCUCCCUGGCGGCCAGAGGGGACACCAAGGAAGCCACCCGAGGCCAGGGGACCAACGCGGAUGACGGGGAGCACGGCAUUUGCACAUGAUUUUUAGAGAUCUUCUCAUUUCCUGGACGAUGUGAAAAGGCAGAAAAACCAGACCCACCCCCAAAUGUGGGAGCGAUGGUCCUAUUGAUGUUCCCGCCGCCAAGAGCGGUUAGGGACCCACGCGUCGCCCACGGGACCCGGACUCGCUGGAAGGCCUGGGGCGGGAGCCGGGGCGCCGUCGGGGCGCGACGACCACAGCCUCGGGCCUGGAGGGCCCCUCGUCUGCGCAGUGAAGGAUGCU
Molecule: long non-coding RNA, 1186 nt
Filed under: Canis lupus dingo (dingo)
Lineage: Eukaryota; Metazoa; Chordata; Mammalia; Carnivora; Canidae
Description: lncRNA (ENSCAFG00020017156.1)
Source: RNAcentral